This 494-nucleotide ribosomal RNA is filed under the name uncultured bacterium. RNAcentral's name for it is "partial 16S ribosomal RNA". It matches the Rfam family "Bacterial small subunit ribosomal RNA", at positions 28 to 507 of the family's 1533-position model. The record is from RNAcentral.
GACGAACGCUGGCGGCGUGCUUAACACAUGCAAGUCGAACGGUGAAGCGCCUUCCUUUUUGGUGGGUGUGGAUGAGUGGCGAACGGGUGAGUAACACGUGAGUAACCUGCCCCCUUCUUCUGGAUAACCGCAUGAAAGUGUGGCUAAUACGGGAUAUUCUGGGUCUGUCGCAUGAUGGGUCUGGGAAAGAUAUUGUUUCGGUGGGGGAUGGGCUCGCGGCCUAUCAGCUUGUUGGUGGGGUGAUGGCCUACCAAGGCGGUGACGGGUAGCCGGCCUGAGAGGGUGGACGGUCACACUGGGACUGAGACACGGCCCAGACUCCUACGGGAGGCAGCAGUGGGGAAUAUUACACAAUGGGCGCAAGCCUGAUGCAGCGACGCCGCGUGAGGGAUGGAGGCCUUCGGGUUGUGAACCUCUUUCGCCAGUGAAGCAGGCCUGCCUCGUUUGUGGGUGGGUUGACGGUAGCUGGAUAAGAAGCGCCGGCUAACUACGUG